CAUGACGCUGGCGGAUGACUAACGUGAAGUCGAACGGUAACAGGUCUUCGGAUUCAUGGCGAGUGGCGAACGGUGAGUAAUACAUCAGAGAACAGUGCCCAGAUCGUGGGGGAUAACGGAGCGAAAGCUUUGCUAAUACCGCAUACGAUCUACGGAUGAAAGCAGGGGACCGCAAGGCCUUGCGCGGACGGAGCGGCCGAUGGCAGAUUAGGUAGUUGGUGGGAUAAAAGCUUACCAAGCCGACGAUCUGUAGCUGGUCUGAGAGGACGACCAGCCACACUGGGACUGAGACACGGACCAGACUCCUACGGGAGUGCAGCAGUGGGGAAUUUUGGACAAUGGGCGAAAGCCUGAUCCAGCCAUGCCGCGUGCAGGAUGAAGGCCUUCCGGGUUGUAAACUGCUUUUGUACCGGAAACGAAAAGACUCCUUCUAAUACAGGGGGUCCAUGACGGUACCGUAAGAAUAAGCCCGGCUAACUACGUGGCAAGCAGACGAGGUAAUACGUAGGGUGAAACGUAAAUCGGACUACUGGGCGUAAAGCGUGCCAGGGAGGUAUAUAAGAAAGAUGUGAAAUACCACGGGAUCAAACUGGAAACUGAAUUUGUGAUGUAUAGAUAGAGAACGGAAGAGGGGGAUGU
RNAcentral lists this ribosomal RNA (639 nucleotides) under uncultured bacterium. Its description in RNAcentral is "bacterial SSU rRNA". It matches the Rfam family "Bacterial small subunit ribosomal RNA", at positions 29 to 664 of the family's 1533-position model. The record is from RNAcentral.